This 405-nucleotide ribosomal RNA is filed under the name uncultured bacterium. RNAcentral's name for it is "bacterial SSU rRNA". It matches the Rfam family "Bacterial small subunit ribosomal RNA", at positions 355 to 776 of the family's 1533-position model. The record is from RNAcentral.
UGAGGAAUAUUCCACAAUGGGGGAAACCCUGAUGGAGCGAUGCCGCGUGCAGGAAGACGCUUUUCGGAGUGUAAACUGCUUUUAAUAGGGAAGAUUAUGACGGUACCUAUCGAAUAAGGACCGGCUAACUACGUGCCAGCAGCCGCGGUAAUACGUAGGGUCCAAGCGUUAUUCGGAAUUACUGGGCGUAAAGCGUACGUAGGCGGUUUGGUAAGUUGGAUGUGAAAUCCUGUGGCUCAACCACAUGGACUGUGUCCAAAACUACCAAACUUGAGCAUAGUAGAGGCAAGUGGAAUUUGCGGUGUAGGAGUGACAUCCGUAGAUAUCGCAAGGAACACCAAUGGCGAAGGCAGCUUGCUGGGCUAUUGCUGACGCUCAGGUACGAAAGCGUGGGGAGCGAACGGG